ACCCUAACUCACUCCUAGCUUGGUUUGGAGCUUCAAAAGAGGUUGGAUUAGAAGUAUCCUGGCCUUCACUUGGAGUUUGAUGGGGUUCUACACCAUACAAGGGAGCUAGGAGACUAGUGGACAUCUUUAUUAGCGCAAACAAAGGGGAUCCAAGGAGUUCCUGAGCCUUCCACUUCGGAAGAGGUUAGGGACCGCGGCAAGGGUGUCGCCUCUAGCUAGUUAGCGAUGAGCUUGCUAUUAGGUUGUUCAUCUCUCCUUUUGUUUUAGUUGGAGAGAGUGAGAGCUUUUGUACCCUAUGUGUAGAGACCACCAUUUUUGUAUAUUUAACAUCUUGUAUUUGUAUAUUAUGAUGUAUUUAUUUUGGAUUAUGAUGGUUGUU
Molecule: long non-coding RNA, 379 nt
Organism: Ananas comosus (pineapple)
Lineage: Eukaryota; Viridiplantae; Streptophyta; Magnoliopsida; Poales; Bromeliaceae
Exons: 4
Source: RefSeq, a predicted model, not a curated record